RNAcentral lists this ribosomal RNA (216 nucleotides) under Triticum aestivum (bread wheat). RNAcentral describes it as "partial small subunit ribosomal RNA". Lineage: Eukaryota; Viridiplantae; Streptophyta; Magnoliopsida; Poales; Poaceae. The record is from RNAcentral.
AUGCCCGCACUUUCCAUAUGGAGCUGGGAGCGUUUGCCGGUUAGACAACCGAAGACCGUGAAGUACGAGGAUUGGGACGACAAAAAUGACCCACUAUGGCGCCCCACUUGGGCUUACAAGUGGGAUGUGUUAAAUGAGACGACGGAUGAUCCGUCGGUCAUGUACAAGUUGUACAAGAGCGAGCUGGACGUGAUCACGCCUGAGCAGGUGAAUUGA